This 482-nucleotide ribosomal RNA is filed under the name uncultured bacterium. RNAcentral describes it as "bacterial SSU rRNA". It matches the Rfam family "Bacterial small subunit ribosomal RNA", at positions 29 to 507 of the family's 1533-position model. The record is from RNAcentral.
AUUGAACGCUGGCGGAAUGCUUUACACAUGCAAGUCGAGCGGCAGCGCGGGGCAACCUGGCGGCGAGCGGCGAACGGGUGAGUAAUGCAUCGGAACGUACCCCGUCGUGGGGGAUAACUACCCGAAAGGGUAGCUAAUACCGCAUACGACCUGAGGGUGAAAGCGGGGGACCGAAAGGCCUCGCGCGAUGGGAGCGGCCGAUGCCGGAUUAGCUAGUUGGUAGGGUAAAGGCCUACCAAGGCGACGAUCCGUAGCUGGUCUGAGAGGACGACCAGCCACACUGGAACUGAGACACGGUCCAGACUCCUACGGGAGGCAGCAGUGGGGAAUUUUGGACAAUGGGCGCAAGCCUGAUCCAGCCAUGCCGCGUGUGUGAAGAAGGCCUUCGGGUUGUAAACUGCUUUUGUACGGAACGAAACGGCUCUUUCUAAUAAAGGGAGCUAAUGACGGUACCGUAAGAAUAAGCACCGGCUAACUACGUG